Molecule: ribosomal RNA, 439 nt
Filed under: uncultured bacterium
Lineage: Bacteria
Description: bacterial SSU rRNA
Rfam family: Bacterial small subunit ribosomal RNA
Source: RNAcentral
AUGGGAACGCGAAGAACCUUACCUACUCUUGACAUCCAGAGAACUUUCCAGAGGUGGAUUGGUGCCUUCGGGAACUCUGAGACAGGUGCUGCAUGGCUGUCGUCAGCUCGUGUUGUGAAAUGUUGGGUUAAGUCCCGCAACGAGCGCAACCCUUAUCCUUUGUUGCCAGCGGUUCGGCCGGGAACUCAAAGGAGACUGCCAGUGAUAAACUGGAGGAAGGUGGGGAUGACGUCAAGUCAUCAUGGCCCUUACGAGUAGGGCUACACACGUGCUACAAUGGCGCAUACAAAGAGAAGCGACCUCGCGAGAGCAAGCGGACCUCAUAAAGUGCGUCGUAGUCCGGAUUGGAGUCUGCAACUCGACUCCAUGAAGUCGGAAUCGCUAGUAAUCGUAGAUCAGAAUGCUACGGUGAAUACGUUCCCGGGUCUUGUACACACCG